Molecule: long non-coding RNA, 379 nt
Organism: Emys orbicularis (European pond turtle)
Lineage: Eukaryota; Metazoa; Chordata; Testudines; Emydidae
Exons: 2
Source: RefSeq, a predicted model, not a curated record
CGGGGAAAGGGGCCAGGGCGCUGAGCUAGGGCGGAGGCUCCUCUCAGAGCAGCCGCCAGGCGGGCCGGGGCUCGGGACUCGCUCGGCGCAGGGAGAAUUCACUACCACUACCCGAGGCGGGGUGAAGCGUUCCAACGAGUUCAGCGGACCGCCUGCUGUCUGCACCACAGAGAUCAGCCAGCUCACCCCCAUUCUCCUCCUAUGGGGUUGAUGUCCCUUAGCUACAGCCUGAUGAAAACUACUGAGCCUUGGCUCCUUUCAGGAUUUACAGCCACACACCUGAGCCGGUGAGACAGACGGACAGUGAGACUGACAAAUAAGGAAAAGAAAGAAAAAACAAAAGCCAAAUACUGCUAACAUGAAGCUAUUACCUGACGAA